This 253-nucleotide ribosomal RNA is filed under the name uncultured bacterium. RNAcentral describes it as "partial 16S ribosomal RNA". It matches the Rfam family "Bacterial small subunit ribosomal RNA", at positions 524 to 776 of the family's 1533-position model. The record is from RNAcentral.
UACGGGGGGGGCAAGCGUUGUUCGGAAUUACUGGGCGUAAAGGGCUCGUAGGCGGCUCGCUAAGUCAGACGUGAAAGCUCUCGGCUUAACCGGGGAACGGCGUCUGAGACUGGCAAGCUUGAAUCCGGGAGAGGGAUGCGGAAUUCCAGGUGUAGCGGUGAAAUGCGUAGAUAUCUGGAGGAACACCGGUGGCGAAGGCGGCAUCCUGGACCGGUAUUGACGCUGAGGAGCGAAAGCCAGGGGAGCAAACGGG